CGUCUAUAUACGUAUAGCAUAUCAAUAAGCGGAGGAAAAGAAACUAACUAGGAUUCCCUUAGUAACGGCGAGUGAAGCGGGAAGAGCUCAGAUUUGAAAUCUUCAAGGUUCUACCUUGACGAAUUGUAGUUUAUAAGAAGUGUUUUCUGUUAGAUGAGUAGCGAAAAGUUCCUUGGAAUAGGACAUCAUAGAGGGUGAGAAUCCCGUAUUUGGUUAUUCAUUCUAGCUUUGUGAUACACUUUCAAAGAGUCGGAUUGUUUGGGAAUGCAGUCCAAAAUGGGUGGUAAAUUUCAUCUAAAGCUAAAUAUUGGCGAGAGACCGAUAGCGAACAAGUACCGUGAGGGAAAGAUGAAAAGAACUUUGAAAAGAGAGUUAAACAGUACGUGAAAUUGUCAAAAGGGAAGCGUUUGACACCAGUGUUGUUUUUCCGAAAAUCAAUUAUAAAUGUUUUGUUUCUGAGGAGUGAUGACUUCAUCGGCUUCCUUCUCUCUUUACGAAACUUUUGUAAUGCACUUUUCGGUUAACAAGUCAACAUCAAUUUCUUUUGUUGUAAAAGAGUAUUCGGAAGGCGGCUUUCUUUUCGGAGAAAGUGUUUAUAGCCCUAUACUUCUACAAUCGGAGAGAUUGAGGUCUGCAGCGUAGAUCCUUCGGGGUUAGAUACACUUGUGCUAAGUUAUAGCUUUUCAUAGACAACUUGUUGACUAUGUUUAGUCUUGUAGCUUACUCGCUUGUGCUAUUUUACCUACGCUUAGGAUGUUGACUGAUAUGUAGUCGU
This 775-nucleotide ribosomal RNA is filed under the name uncultured Neocallimastigales. RNAcentral's name for it is "partial large subunit ribosomal RNA". It matches the Rfam family "Eukaryotic large subunit ribosomal RNA", at positions 26 to 643 of the family's 3401-position model. Lineage: Eukaryota; Fungi; Neocallimastigomycota; Neocallimastigomycetes; Neocallimastigales. The record is from RNAcentral.